UACGAAGGGGGCUAGCGUUGCUCGGAAUUACUGGGCGUAAAGGGCGCGUAGGCGGCACUGUUAGUCAGGCGUGAAAGUCCUGGGCUCAACCUGGGAACUGCGCUUGGAUACGGCAGAGCUAGAGGAUGGAAGAGGGUCGCGGAAUUCCCAGUGUAGAGGUGAAAUUCGUAGAUACGUGGGAAGAACACCGGUGGCGAAGGCGGCGACCUGGUCCAUUACUGACGCUGAGGCGCGACAGCGUGGGGAGCAACAGG
This 254-nucleotide ribosomal RNA is filed under the name uncultured bacterium. RNAcentral's name for it is "partial 16S ribosomal RNA". It matches the Rfam family "Bacterial small subunit ribosomal RNA", at positions 524 to 775 of the family's 1533-position model. The record is from RNAcentral.